This 945-nucleotide non-coding RNA is filed under the name Avahi laniger (woolly lemur). RNAcentral describes it as "12S ribosomal RNA". It matches the Rfam family "Bacterial small subunit ribosomal RNA". RNAcentral also lists the same sequence under 1 other name. Lineage: Eukaryota; Metazoa; Chordata; Mammalia; Primates; Indriidae. The record is from RNAcentral.
AGGUCUGGUCCCAGCCUUCCCAUUAGUUAUCAGUAGGAUUACACAUGCAAGUAGCCGCACCCCAGUGAGAAUGCCCUCUAGAUAUAUUCCCAUAUCAAAAGGAGCAGGCAUCAAGCACGCCAUACGGCCGCUCACCACGCCUUGCUAAACCACACCCCCACGGGACACAGCAGUGAUAAACCUUAAGCAAUUAACGAAAGUUAGACUGAGCCAUACUGACACUCAGGGUUGGUAAAUUUCGUGCCAGCCACCGCGGUCAUACGAUUAACCCGAACUAAUACAAUCCCGGCGUAAAGUGUGUUUAAGACCGUGCCAGAUAAAGUUAAACCUCACCUAAGCCGUAAAAAGCUCUAGCCAAAGGUAAAAUACCCUACGAAAGUGACUUUAACACCCUGAAAACACGACAGCUAAGACCCAAACUGGGAUUAGAUACCCCACUAUGCUUAGCUAUAAACCUAAGUAGCCCACAAACAACGCUACUCGCCAGAGUACUACAAGCAAUAGCUUAAAACUCAAAGGACUUGGCGGUGCUUUACACCCCUCUAGAGGAGCCUGUUCUAUAAUCGAUAAACCCCGAUAAACCCUACCACUUCUUGCUAAUCCAAUCUAUAUACCGCCAUCUUCAGCAAACCCUACCAAGGUCCCAGAGUAAGCACAAACAUACCACGUAAAAACGUUAGGUCAAGGUGUAAUCUAUGAAGUGGAAAGAAAUGGGCUACAUUUUCUAACAGCAGAACAGCACAUUUAACAUCAACCUUUAUGAAACCUAAAGGCCAAAGGAGGAUUUAGUAGUAAAUUAAGAACAGAGAGCUUAAUUGAAUAGGGCCAUGAAGCACGCACACACCGCCCGUCACCCUCCUCCAUACUACACACAUCAAUUCCCUAAUUAAGCAACUAAAUCACGAGAGGAGACAAGUCGUAACAAGGUAAGCAUACUGGAAAGUG